Molecule: transfer RNA, 64 nt
Filed under: Dicyathifer mannii
Lineage: Eukaryota; Metazoa; Mollusca; Bivalvia; Myida; Teredinidae
Description: tRNA-Pro
Source: RNAcentral
UAGGUUGUGGUUUAAAGAUAGAAUUAGGGCUUUGGGAGUCUUAGGUGCUCGUUAGAGCCAGCCU